CUGCCCAGUGACUUAAGUUUAACGGCCGCGGUAUCCUGACCGUGCAAAGGUAGCACAAUCACUUGUUCUUUAAUUAAGGACUCGAAUGAAUGGCCACACGAGGGUUCAACUGUCUCUUACUUACAAUCAGUGAAAUUGACCUCUUCGUGAAGAGGCGAAGAUGAAUUAGCAAGACGAGAAGACCCUAUGGAGCUUAAAUUUACCACCCAACUUGCACCCUACACCCCCAAACAGGUUUCCAACACUCGCACUUAUGGGUAUACAAUUUUGGUUGGGGUGACCUCGGAGCACAAAACAACCUCCGAACUAUAAAUACCUAGACACAACCAGUCAAAGCCCCUUACAAACAUAUUGACCCAAAAAAUUGAUCAACGGAACAAGUUACCCUAGGGAUAACAGCGCAAUCCUGUUCAAGAGUCCAUAUCGACAACAGGGUUUACGACCUCGAUGUUGGAUCAGGACAUCCAAAUGGUGUAACCGCUAUUAAUGGUUCGUUUGUUCAACGAUUA
RNAcentral lists this ribosomal RNA (509 nucleotides) under Perodicticus potto (potto). Its description in RNAcentral is "partial 16S ribosomal RNA". It matches the Rfam family "Bacterial large subunit ribosomal RNA", at positions 1859 to 2590 of the family's 2925-position model. The record is from RNAcentral. Lineage: Eukaryota; Metazoa; Chordata; Mammalia; Primates; Lorisidae.